Armigeres subalbatus is the source of this 2293-nucleotide long non-coding RNA. RefSeq lists it as uncharacterized. Lineage: Eukaryota; Metazoa; Arthropoda; Insecta; Diptera; Culicidae. The record is from RefSeq and is a predicted model, not a curated record. The transcript is spliced from 3 exons.
GCUGAAAUAAAAUAUGGAUAUUCAUAAGUUCUGCCUUAUGAAACACCAAAAGUUCAUUUCCUAAUCGAUUCAUAAGGCUUCUAUGAAACUCAUAAUCUGUAAUAUUAAUUUCAUACAUAUGCCUUAUGAAUCGCAAUACCAUUCCUUAUGCAUAAAAAUCGAAAGAUAAUCUUAUGUCAUUUCAUAUGUUCAUCCAGUUCAUCCACAGAAAAAUAGUUUGUUCGAAUGAAGUGGAGUUCCGGGCUUAUGUGGUGCUGCGUAAUUUGAACGGUGGAAGCUCCAGUGGCAGUUGGGCCAAGAAAACGCGCUCCCGAGAAAAAGUAAAUUCGCGCUAUUUGUUUGUCCUGUUGGUUGCUGCUCAGGAUGUCACCAUUAAUGGCCCGGGAAUCAGCUAUCCUAGUGGAGUUCUCAUCGAGUGGAGUGAAGGCAGACGUUAUCGAAUGCAGUGCCUUGACGUGACGUGGAAUUUCGGGUGUUCGGUGAAAGUGAUCGGUUGUCUUCGUUGGGGAUGAGUACGGUGGUAACGACGAUUUGGUCGGCUUCAUCUUCCUUUCGAGGGGCUGGACCACAGUUGGCGUAAGCCAACGGUGCUAAGCUCCCCCUGGCGGUGCGGCGUCUGACGACGCAAAAUCCCGCAGGUCGCCCGUGUGGUGUAGCCGCACCGGUUAACAAGGGGGGCCCUUCAUCAACGCAAGUUGGUUAGGGCAUUAGCACAGGCAGCCGAUGAAGUCGAUGAAAGUGCACUGUCCGAUUCCAUCCUCGGACGGUGUGUCAGAUGGUAAGUACCGUUCCAAUCUUGAUAAUUUGUUGACCAGGGACUUAUUCUUUUUUUCUUUUUUAGGUGCUGAUUUACCGAUGCCAAAUGUCAGGUGAAGAAUUUCCUGGCAAAACCUUUCUCGGAAGAUGUUGUCUUCGAUUUCAACCAGUCAAGAUCAACAGAAUGAGCUAUAUUUACGUAACGCAUCACAGAGGGGACUCCAGUAGCCUUGCGAGCAGAGGCGUAGGAUUGUCAAUCCGGAGAAGGCAAGUUUGAUUCCCGUUCCGGUCUAGGAUGUUUUCGGAUUGGAAACUUUCUUGACACUCUGGGCAUAGGGUAUUCAUUGUACUUGCCACACAAGAUACUUCUUCUUCUUCUUCUUAUUGGCAUUACAUCCCCACAUUGGGACAGAGUCGCCUCGCUGCUUAAUGUUCAUUAAGCACUUCCACAGUUAUUAACUGCGAGGUUUAUAAGCCAGGUUACCAUUUUUGUAUUCGUAUAUCAUGAGGCUUUUAUUGCCCAGGGAAGUCGAAACAAUUUCCAUUCCGAAAACUGCCUAGACCGGCACGGGGAAUCGAACCCAGCCGUCCUCAGCAUGGUCUUGCUUUGUAGCCGCGCGUCUUACCGCAUGGCCAUGGAGGGCCAUACAAGAUACAUAUCCAUCCAAUGCCGGACAAAGAAAAGCUUUCAAUUAAUAACUGAAAUGCUAAAGGAAUACUAAAUUGUAAAGCAGGCCAAGUUCCAGUUGGAAUGUAGAGCCAUUGAAGAAGAGGAUCGCAAAUAAUAAUAAAUCGCAACAAGGCACGAUCAUCUGUUUGUGCUGUUACACGUCCUGCGAAAUCCUAGCGGGAUCACAAACAGGGCAACCACGCUGGUGCAACUGCCUAUCCAGGGUGACUUACAUUGUUACAUUGGGGCCCUUUGGAGUUUCAGCACAUUCUGGUGGUAAUGGCCCGGCUGCUGUUGCCGAUAAGAAAACCAAACAACUGAUUUUCUGGACAGGACAUGAACUUCGUUCAGAAGGUGAAGUGGGUGAUCAUGGACAGCAAUGGAGAAGACUGUCCCAGAUAUGACUGCAUAUCCGAGUCCAUAUCUCAAGGAGCCGUACUAUUUGGGAAAGUUUUUCGCGCAUUGACGAUGAUUGAUCAGAAGUUGUACGGCAGUCUAUGAUUGGAGGAAGUAUCUCAUCUUCAAGGAAUGCAUCUGUUGAGACCGAUCGCGUUCGGAAAUGUAUGCGUGGAGUUGCAUGGGGACUGGGUUAGUGACACGAUGCAGAUCUAGAUCGACGGUUCGCCGAGAGGUUAGCACGAGCCACACUGUUUUCAACGUGAGUGUUUUGCAUCGGAUAUCGUUGGAGCAGUCGAGGGAAAUCCACGUAGUGGUGCUCAGCUACGAAAGCGCACAAAAUUCGUCGCGCAAUACAUCUUUCGAUCGCGGAAGAUCACUACUUGGCAAUACCUGACAGGGUUUCUUUUCGGUUAACCAUGUACCAGAUAAGGAAUAAAUUAAAUAAAUAAAUAUUUGCUUUCAAAAAUA